GACGAACGCUGGCGGCGUGCCUAAUACAUGCAAGUAGGACGCAGUUGCGAACGCGUGAGUAAAGCGUAGGUCAAUGCCUAUUAGAGGGGGAUAACUAUUGGAAACGAUAGCUAAUACCGCAUACUAGUAGAUGGACCUGCGUUGUAUUAGGUAGUAGGUAGGGUAAUGGCAUACCUAGGCGACGAUACAUAGCCGCCGUGAGAUGGGGGUCGGCAAAACUGGGACGGAGACACGGCCCAGACUCCUACGGGAGGCAGCAGUAGGGAAUCUUCGGCAAUGGGGGGAACCCUGACCGAGCAACGCCGCGGGAGUGAAGAAGGUUUUCGGAUCGUAAAGCUCUGUUGUUAAGGAAGCGGUACUUAACCAGAAAGGGACGGCUAACUACGUGCCAGCAGCCGUGGUAAUAC
RNAcentral lists this ribosomal RNA (407 nucleotides) under uncultured bacterium. RNAcentral's name for it is "partial 16S ribosomal RNA". It matches the Rfam family "Bacterial small subunit ribosomal RNA", at positions 28 to 526 of the family's 1533-position model. The record is from RNAcentral.